GACACAAUCCGCAGCCCCUGGGUCUGUGCAGUGACCAGCCAGUCCCCUGAGAACUUUCCCCUCCAGCACCAGGGAAAAUGGGAUUUUUGCUCCUUGUGAUUUUCGCUGCAGCAGCUUUGGAAGGUGUCCGGUCCCAGGUGCAGCUGGUGGAGUCCGGAGGGGAUGUGAAAAAGCCCGGAGACUCUCUCCGCCUCUCCUGCAAAGCCUCUGGCUUCACCUUCAGCAGCUACCUUAUGCAUUGGGUCCGACAGGCUCCCGGGAAGGGGCUGAAGUGGGUGGCUGAGAUUAGGCCCGAUGGAUCAAGCCAGUCGUAUUCCCCAGCUGUUCAAGGGCGAUUCACCAUCUCCAGGGACAAUUCCAAGAGCCGAUUCACCAACUCCAGGGACAACUCCAACAACCUGCUGUAUCUGCAAAUGACCGGCCUGAAGCCCGAGGACACCGCCCGCUAUUACUGUGCGAGAGACACACACGGAGAUUAA
Non-coding RNA from Gopherus flavomarginatus (Mexican gopher tortoise), 479 nucleotides. The record is from the annotation of a RefSeq genome assembly. Lineage: Eukaryota; Metazoa; Chordata; Testudines; Testudinidae.